Molecule: ribosomal RNA, 664 nt
Filed under: uncultured cyanobacterium
Lineage: Bacteria; Bacillati; Cyanobacteriota
Description: partial 16S ribosomal RNA
Source: RNAcentral
UGACUACAGGGGUAUCUAAUCCCUUUCGCUCCCCUAGCUUUCGUCCCUCAGUGUCAGUGCAGACCCAGCAAGGCGCUUUCGCCACCGGUGUUCUUCCCAAUAUCUACGCAUUUCACCGCUACACUGGGAAUUCCCCUUGCCCCUAUCGCACUCUAGACGCUCAGUUUCCUCUGCCUUUACGGAGUUAAGCUCCGCGCUUUGACAGAAGACUUGAACAUCCACCUACGGACGCUUUACGCCCAAUAAUUCCGGAUAACGCUUGCCUCCUCCGUAUUACCGCGGCUGCUGGCACGGAGUUAGCCGAGGCUGAUUCGAUUGGUACCGUCAGAACUUCUUCCCAAUCAAAAGAGGUUUACAAUCCACAGACCUUCUUCCCUCACGCGGUCUUGCUCCGUCAGGCUUUCGCCCAUUGCGGAAAAUUCCCCACUGCUGCCUCCCGUAGGAGUCUGGGCCGUGUCUCAGUCCCAGUGUGGCUGAUCAUCCUCUCAGACCAGCUACCGAUCGUCGCCUUGGUAAGCUCUUACCUCACCAACUAGCUAAUCGGACGCGAGCUCAUCCUCAGGCAGAAAACUGUUUCACCUCUCGGCAUAUGGGGUCUUAGCGGUCGUUUCCAACCGUUAUCCCCCUCCUAAGGGCAGAUUCUCACGCGUUACUCACCCGUCCG